This 253-nucleotide ribosomal RNA is filed under the name uncultured bacterium. Its description in RNAcentral is "partial 16S ribosomal RNA". It matches the Rfam family "Bacterial small subunit ribosomal RNA", at positions 524 to 776 of the family's 1533-position model. The record is from RNAcentral.
UACAGAGGGGGCGAGCGUUGUUCGGAAUUACUGGGCGUAAAGGGCGCGUAGGCGGCCCGCUAAGUCGAACGUGAAAUCCCCAGGCUCAACCUGGGAACUGCGUCCGAUACUGGCAGGCUUGAAUCCGGGAGAGGGAUGUGGAAUUCCAGGUGUAGCGGUGAAAUGCGUAGAUAUCUGGAGGAAUACCGGUGGCGAAGGCGGCAUCCUGGACCGAUAUUGACACUGAUGAGCGAAAGCCAGGGGAGCAAACGGG